RNAcentral lists this ribosomal RNA (253 nucleotides) under uncultured bacterium. RNAcentral's name for it is "partial 16S ribosomal RNA". It matches the Rfam family "Bacterial small subunit ribosomal RNA", at positions 524 to 776 of the family's 1533-position model. The record is from RNAcentral.
UACGUAGGGGGCAAGCGUUGUCCGGAAUCAUUGGGCGUAAAGAGCGUGUAGGCGGCCCGGUAAGUCCGCUGUGAAAGUCCAGGGCUCAACCCUGGGAUGCCGGUGGAUACUGUCGGGCUAGAGUCCGGAAGAGGAGUGUGGAAUUCCUGGUGUAGCGGUGAAAUGCGCAGAUAUCAGGAGGAACACCAAUGGCGAAGGCAGCACUCUGGGACGUGACUGACGCUGAGGCGCGAAAGCGUGGGGAGCAAACAGG